This 462-nucleotide long non-coding RNA is filed under the name Phascolarctos cinereus (koala). Its description in RNAcentral is "lncRNA (ENSPCIG00000017020.2)". The record is from RNAcentral. Lineage: Eukaryota; Metazoa; Chordata; Mammalia; Diprotodontia; Phascolarctidae.
CCCAACCCCAGCGUGAUCUAGCCUGUGAGUUGGAAGCUGACACCGUGACCUGCCUUGAAGACUCCAAUUCUUUGGGUUCUUGUCCAUUAGGCCCACAGAUUCUCCCCCAGAUGUUUCAGCAAUAGCCAUUCAACAAAGGAAUCAGAAGCAGCAGCAAAAAACCUAAUAAGGGGCCCUUUGUGCCCAGCCGUUAGAAGACAGGAUUUUUCAAAAGUAUACUCUUCCCCCAGAAAGAAGCAGUGGAGUGCAAACGUUUACUGUGAACAUGCCCACGGGUUCUCUACAGACAUUCCAAGAGACAUACAAGGCCCUUCUUUUCCAAGAUCUGUCUGGCCAUAAAUUGCAAUCGAUGUUAAUUUACAAAAACAAAUGACACCAAUCCUGCACCACGACAUUUUGAAAUGGGAGAAUGAGGCAGAGCCAUAAAAUAGGGAUAAAAUAAAAACACUCACUCAUGCCCCA